GGAACCGUAACUGUUGAAUUAGAAAUCCCUCAUUCGAUUCAAUCUCCAACUCCAUUUCAUUUUUCGAAUCAAGCCCCAACUCCAUUCUCUGAACUGUCAUGAAACCUAACUUUAUUUUAGAAAAUGAAUCUAAACCUAACUUCAUCCUGUUUCUUUCUUCUUUUUUUAUUCAAAUCUCUGAUUCAAUCUACGAUCUCUGAGGAAUCGUUGGUAGUGUGUCGAAUCAGCUUGAGUUGUGCAAGAAACGUGCCUUGCUACUUGGAAUGCGGAGGAAGCCUAAGUUGGAAGAGGGAUAUGGAGUCUAGGUUGGCAAAAUUCAGGUAACUUAUCGUCCAAUGGCAAUAAAGAACCAAUCCAGUGAUGAUUUUGGCCAUGCAUUGUAAAUCCCCAUGGUGCUGAGCCAUCGUUCUGAUUUUUUGCCACCUUGGCCCCGUUUGAGUAGAGGGAUUUUAACAGUUCCCUUCAAACAACAAAGUCCAAACUCUGACUGCUUAUUCUUCUGGAUUUCGUUGGUCCUCUCUUCAUCCCACAUCAUUGCUUGACAAUGAGGGCAUACUGCAGUUGAACCCCCCGACAUCAUGCUUUGUCAGCUCCAUCAUUGGUCAAUAUAGAAGAUUCAGUACAAUGGUAAGUUUCGAUUAGACCUUGAAUCCAUGCUACUUUACAGUUUAAGCAUGCUUAACUUACAUGUAUAUGGGAACUUUUCUUCUGAUUCAUAACCUUCAUGAAUUUCCUCAUUUUUGUCACCCUCUUUAUGCCCUAAUGUUCAAAACAACAAUAUGCACAUUAACACGUAAAAAACAUAUAAAAGAAGCCUUUGACUGUACCAUAUAUAAAAGAACAGGCAAAACAUGUUACCAUCCAUGUAACUUGCAGCGAAGGUUUUUGCUCGUUUCUUUGCAGUUGUCGAUUCGUCCUCUGUUGAUGCUGGUAAUAAUUUGGAUUUAAAAGUAUCAACACAUGGUAUCUUGCUCUUUGCAAAGAACAAAUCACUAUAAAAUUUUAAACUUAGGUUAGGUAAUUCAUCAAAUGCUGUCAAGAAUUUGUAAACCUUUAGUAUCAAGCUGAUAAAGCUGAUACCAAUAAUUUUACAUGUAGUCUAGGUAAUUUCGGGUGAAUAACGCCCAGUCAAAUAUUAAUAAUGUCCGGUUAAAUUUCGGGUGUAAGCUGAGUGUGAAUGGAAUAUUAAUGUGUUCACCAAUAACGAAUUGCCAAAUGUCCUCUCCAGAUUUACUAAUGCCCAAAGUUUUGAAAAGUUUUGAAGGGGGUGUCACGUUCACCGUGCCACGGGGAAACGGAUAUGACUUAGUGUUUUAAAGAAGUGGAGAUUAUAACAAUAUUUUCCCUGAAAACUACACAUCAUCAUGGUGUCUUAUCGUAUCCAAUUCCCAAUGUUAACUUUUGGGAGCGGGUGUACAACAAUUAUCUAAUAGGUCAAAUUAAAAAAGUGAAAGUAACAUUUUUUCCAUAAACGAAGGCAGUACAGGAUUUAGGUAUGUUCAAAAAAAAAAAAAAAAAAAAGGAAAG
Molecule: long non-coding RNA, 1527 nt
Organism: Papaver somniferum (opium poppy)
Lineage: Eukaryota; Viridiplantae; Streptophyta; Magnoliopsida; Ranunculales; Papaveraceae
Exons: 4
Source: RefSeq, a predicted model, not a curated record